AGACUUUUAGAGGUAGUCUAAAGUAAAAAAAAGGUGGAGCUUGGCCAUCUAAAAGUGUUCGACUGUCCGGCUUAUGCUUUGGUGGAGGAAGCCGAGCAAGCAAGUUGGAUCCGAAGUCACAAAAGAUGAUCUUCAUCGAGUAUCCUGCAGGUGUGAAGGGUUACUUACUGUGGAAUUCAUAUUUUCAAAAGUGUGUCAUCAGCAGGGAUGUGAUCUUUGAUGAAAAGAGUAUCUUGAAGAAGCUGAGA
This 248-nucleotide long non-coding RNA is filed under the name Elaeis guineensis (African oil palm). RNAcentral's name for it is "long non-coding RNA (EGUI_LNC038335)". Lineage: Eukaryota; Viridiplantae; Streptophyta; Magnoliopsida; Arecales; Arecaceae. The record is from RNAcentral.